AUGAGCAGCGGUGGCAUCAUGUCGCCGGCGCUGGCGAGGUCCAGCGGUGGCAGCAUGUCCCCGGCGAUGGCGUGGUCACCGUCAUCCAGGAGGGGGGAGCACAGGAACGGCGGCGGCCGCUUCAGGGCGGAGAUCGAGAUGGACACGGGCGUCGCCCUUCCCAGGGGCCCGGAGCUUGGGUUCGCCGCCGCCGUGCGAGAGCCGCUGGUGAGGCUGCAGCGCCCCAAGUACGACUUCGAGAGGUGGGACUGGGGCUACUUCGCAUGGCCGCACGACCGUCUCGACGCCAAUCUGGAGAUGAGGGACAGCGAUCCGAGGGCGACAUUCGAGGCGGACUCCAAGGUGACAGAGAGCUUCCUGAGCCGGAGCACACUGCAGCUAGAGGCCGGCGAAGGCUUCCCAAGCCAGAGCUCGCCGCAGCUAGAGGCGAGCGAGGGCGGCUUCACGAUCCAGAGGACGCUGGAGCUAGAGGCCGGCCAGUGCUGCCUGUGUCAGAGCACGCUGCAGCUGGAGGCCGGCCAGUGCUUCCUGUGUCAGAGCACGCUGCAGCUGGAGUCCGUCCACGGCCAGGGUUUCCCGAGUAAGAGCACGCUGGAGCUGGAGGCCGCCGAGGGCUUCCUAAUAAGCCAGAGCUCGCCGCAGCCGGAGGCGAGCGACGGCUUCCCGAGCCAGAGCACGCUGCAGCUCGAGGCCGGCGAAGGCUCCCCAAGCGGCCGGAGCAUGCUGCCGGUAGAGUUCGACGACGACACGCCCCUCGGACGCUACGCGCCGUGGCGUCGGGGAUGCGCAGAGUCCAACCCGUUCCUGCUUGACCAUUGCAUGUCACCGCAAGGUCGUUGGGCAUACUAG
RNAcentral lists this ribosomal RNA (849 nucleotides) under Triticum aestivum (bread wheat). Its description in RNAcentral is "partial small subunit ribosomal RNA". The record is from RNAcentral. Lineage: Eukaryota; Viridiplantae; Streptophyta; Magnoliopsida; Poales; Poaceae.